RNAcentral lists this small nucleolar RNA (101 nucleotides) under Lupinus angustifolius (narrow-leaved blue lupine). RNAcentral's name for it is "Plant small nucleolar RNA R71". It matches the Rfam family "Plant small nucleolar RNA R71". From Rfam's summary of the family: R71 is a member of the C/D box family of snoRNAs containing the C (UGAUGA) and D (CUGA) box motifs. Multiple nearly identical copies of this snoRNA have been identified in Arabidopsis, and it is thought to function as a 2'-O-ribose methylation guide for 18S ribosomal RNA. The record is from Rfam by way of RNAcentral. Lineage: Eukaryota; Viridiplantae; Streptophyta; Magnoliopsida; Fabales; Fabaceae.
AUGCCAUGAUGAGGGCAAGCUUCAGUCAACUCAUUUAACCUUUCCCAAGCUUCAGAAAAUGACUCCUCAUCCUAUUGACUACAGUUUUAGUUGAGGUGUCU